Molecule: long non-coding RNA, 1913 nt
Filed under: Androctonus crassicauda
Lineage: Eukaryota; Metazoa; Arthropoda; Arachnida; Scorpiones; Buthidae
Source: RNAcentral
AGCAAAAUAAAAUUAAUGUAUAAAUAUUUGUAUUGUAUAAAUGUUGCAUUAAUUGAAUUAAUGCAACAUUUAUCCUGUUAUUUAUUAUCAAGCGAUUUUAAAAGCUUCGAAAAUAUUUACAUUAUUAAUAAAUUAAUUUAUGAAUUGAUUUGUUAAUGGAUUUGUAAAUAAGUCGAAUAUUGGUUCUUGUUGCGUAUACAGGGCAUAAAAAUUAUUUUUUUAUAAGUAGGAAGCGGCAUAACUGGUUCAGCACAAUUACAGAAAAGCGCAGUUCGUAUGCAUCUCUCGCGAAUUUUUUUGUGUUAAAUGCAUUUUUACGAGAACCGACUCUGUUUAUUAUAAGUGGGUAGUAGUAUUGCAUACUUCGUCAUCAAUAAAAUAUAAAAAAACAAUUUAAAUUGCGGCAAAUUCUGAUGUUGCAUACGUAGAGAUGACGUCCUUGAAGGAUGCAUUCAUUUGAUAAAGUAGUAAAUAAUAAACUCAUAAAACAGAUCUAUGACAAUGACGAUAACAAAGAUAAAGAAAAAUAUUUAAAAAUUGAAUUGAAAACUGUUACAUACUUCUAUAGAAAUUAUUUGCAUAAUUUGCAACUGUACGCACGAGAAAUUAAACCGAAGCAUGCGAUAAUUCUGCAGGAAAACGAACAAAAUCUGAGGAUACUUUUUGUUUUUUUCCUUUUUUGGAGGAAGAAAACAAAAGAAAAGCGACUUUGCUCUCUGGAAAGUACGCAAGGGUUUUUCUAGGUCGUUUAAACGAUCCGUAUCAACACGUUGGUUAUUCAGUAUCAGGCAUGCAGUCCGAUAACUUAUCUAAGAUACAGAUGGCGCAAGAAACAAAGAAGUAAAAGAAAGCGCCCUCAUGCGUCACAUACUGACAAAUUUACGUCAGCAAAAGUAUUGGUGAGGUAGGGUUGAGUGAUUGUGACGUGUUCCGGCAUCACCAUGUGGAAUAAUAAAACGAGGUAAGAUAACAAUAUUAAUAUUGGCUUGUUUAAUGUAUCUGUUGUAACCAUUUGGCUCACUAACAAGCUCAGUUUGCUUGACGCCUUCACACUUUAAUUUUUGAUAAUCUGGUUGGUUCCGUGGCCAUGACGUCAUUGAGACAUGUUUGAGUUGCGCAUUCUAGUAUAUCAUAAAAUAUGGCUCUUUAUCGACAUUAAAAUGUCACGUCAAGAAGUCUAAUUUUAAACUCUUCUCGAUACGAAAAAAAAAACAAAAAACGAAGAAAGUAAAGAAAAAAAGAAAAGAUGCAAAUCAUUCGAAUUAUAACUCGCUGCAAAAUUUUAACUGGCUCGAACUGCAGCGUAUCAAUUUGCACAGUGGACUUUAAGCGCAUAAAUAUAUAUUACAGCAGUUUAAAAUCGGAGGAUAAAUCCAUCUUUAUGUUGAUCGGCGCUAAAUGCAAAAAGAAUAACAAAAAAAAUAUUUAGGAAGUUCCGCAAAAAGCGCAAUAUUCGAUGAACACUGCAGGCCUGCGUAAAAGUGUACGUGUAAAUGGAAAACAUCGAAUGCUAAUUCGUUAUCUAAAAUAAACAGCGAUGAACUGAUUAAUGAAUAAGAUGCGAUAUUAUGAAUCAUAAAUAUGCUAAAGUUUUUUUUUUUUUUUUCCUUUGUUCGGUCGCUGCAGAUCAUUUGCAUAAAGGGAAACAUUGUCGCGAUAAACAGCUGAGCUAAAAAACUGAAAUGAGAUAAAUUCAACAAGUUGUUUUGUCGAAUAUACAAUUAAAUUUAAAUUAUAUAAAAUUUUAAACUAGUAGCAUAAAGAUGAUGACGAUUAAAUCCGAAAUAUCGCGUAAGAACUGUUUUUCCUAUUUCUUUCUUUCGCGAAGUAUCUGUACUGUAACUUCCGUAUAUAAGCCGAGCAUUUAUUAAGUCUACAGUCUAAUAAAAUAAUUUAAGAAGUGGUAAUAUUUA